AACAGGCAUUCCCUAGUAGCGGCGAGCGAGCGGGAAGAGCUCAAAUUUAUAAUCUGGCACCUUCGGUGUCCGAGUUGUAAUCUCUAGAAGUGUUUUCCGCGUUGGACCGCACACAAGUCUGUUGGAAUACAGCGGCAUAGUGGUGAAACCCCCGUAUAUGGUGCGGACGCCCAGCGCUUUGUGAUACACUUUCAAUGAGUCGAGUUGUUUGGGAAUGCAGCUCAAAUUGGGUGGUAAAUUCCAUCUAAAGCUAAAUAUUGGCGAGAGACCGAUAGCGAACAAGUACCGUGAGGGAAAGAUGAAAAGCACUUUGGAAAGAGAGUUAACAGUACGUGAAAUUGUUGGAAGGGAAACGCUUGAAGUCAGACUUGCUUGCCGGAGCUUGCUUCGGUUUGCAGGCCAGCAUCAGUUUUCCGGGGUGGAUAAUGACGGUUUGAAGGUAGCAGUCUCGGCUGUGUUAUAGCUUUCCGUUGGAUACAUCCUGGGGGACUGAGGAACGCAGCGUGCUUUUUGCGAAAGACUCGUCUUUUUCACGCUUAGGAUGCUGGUGGAAUGGCUUUAAACGACCCGUCUUGAACC
This 579-nucleotide ribosomal RNA is filed under the name Rhodotorula glutinis. RNAcentral describes it as "eukaryotic LSU rRNA". It matches the Rfam family "Eukaryotic large subunit ribosomal RNA", at positions 67 to 660 of the family's 3401-position model. The record is from RNAcentral. Lineage: Eukaryota; Fungi; Basidiomycota; Microbotryomycetes; Sporidiobolales; Sporidiobolaceae.